RNAcentral lists this ribosomal RNA (727 nucleotides) under uncultured Ascomycota. RNAcentral's name for it is "LSU rRNA". It matches the Rfam family "Eukaryotic large subunit ribosomal RNA", at positions 494 to 1236 of the family's 3401-position model. The record is from RNAcentral. Lineage: Eukaryota; Fungi; Ascomycota.
GGCCAGCAUCAGUUUGGGCGGUCGGAUAAAGGCUUCGGGAAUGUAGCUCCUCUCGGGGAGUGUUAUAGCCCGUUGCGAAAUGCGGCCAGCUUGGACUGAGGUCCGCGCUUCGGCUAGGAUGCUGGCGUAAUGGUUGUAAGCGGCCCGUCUUGAAACACGGACCAAGGAGUCUAACAUCUGUGCGAGUGUUUGGGUGUCAAACCCGUACGCGUAAUGAAAGUGAACGGAGGCGGGAACCUCUCGGGGUGCACCGUCGACCGAUCCUGAUGUCUUCGGAUGGAUUUGAGUAAGAGCAUAGCUGUUGGGACCCGAAAGAUGGUGAACUAUGCCUGAAUAGGGUGAAGCCAGAGGAAACUCUGGUGGAGGCUCGCAGCGGUUCUGACGUGCAAAUCGAUCGUCAAAUUUGGGCAUAGGGGCGAAAGACUAAUCGAACUAUCUAGUAGCUGGUUCCUGCCGAAGUUUCCCUCAGGAUAGCAGUAACGUUUUCAGUUUUAUGAGGUAAAGCGAAUGAUUAGAGGCCUGGGGGUUGAAACAACCUUCACCUAUUCUCAAACUUUAAAUAUGUAAGAAGUCCUUGUUACUUAGUUGAACGUGGACAUUUGAAUGUAUCGUUACUAGUGGGCCAUUUUUGGUAAGCAGAACUGGCGAUGCGGGAUGAACCGAACGCGGAGUUAAGGUGCCGGAAUGCACGCUCAUCAGACACCACAAAAGGUGUUAGUUCAUCUAG